This 402-nucleotide ribosomal RNA is filed under the name uncultured bacterium. RNAcentral describes it as "bacterial SSU rRNA". It matches the Rfam family "Bacterial small subunit ribosomal RNA", at positions 355 to 776 of the family's 1533-position model. The record is from RNAcentral.
UGAGGAAUAUUGGACAAUGGAGGAAACUCUGAUCCAGCCAUGCCGCGUGAGUGAUGAAGGCCUUCGGGUUGUAAAGCUCUUUCAGGUGUGAAAAUGAUGAUGGUAACACCAGAAGAAGCCCCGGCUAACUCCGUGCCAGCAGCCGCGGUAAUACGGAGGGGCGAGCGUUGUUCGGAAUCACUGGGCGUAAAGCGUGCGUAGGCGGUUAUACAAGUCAGGAGUGAAAUCCCAGGGCUCAACCUUGGAAUUGCUUUUGAGACUGUAUGACUAGAGAUCUAGAGAGGUUGGGGAAUUCCGAGUGUAGAGGUGAAAUUCGCAGAUAUUCGGAGGAACACCAGUGGCGUAGGCGCCCAACUGGCUAGAUACUGACGCUGAGGCACGAAAGCGUGGGGAGCAAACAGG